CGGCCGGCGGUUGUUCCCGUUACGUGGGGACGGGGAGGAGGGACGGAGGACCGGACCCCCUGACGGACGCCAGCCCUACAGGGGAAUGGCGCCUUCCCCUCAGGCAGAGAUCGGGAGCGGGGUUCGGGAGACAGUGGCAUCUUCCCCUCAGGCAGAGACCGGGAGCGGGGUUCAGGGGGCAGUGGCAUCUUCCCCUCAGGCAGAGACCGGGACAAGGGUUCAGGGAGCAGUGGCAUCUUCCCCUCAGGCAGAGACGGGGAGCGGGGUUCAGGGGGCAGUGGCAUCUUCCCCUCAGGCAGAGAUCGGGAGCGGGGUUCAGGGAGCAGUGGCAUCUUCCCCUCAGGCAGAGACCGGGACAGGGGUUCAGGGAGCAGUGGCAUCUUCCCCUCAGGCACAGACCCGGGAGAAGAUUCGUAGGGAAUAGCGCCUUCCCCUCAGGCAGAGAUCGGAAGAGGGGUAUGAAAGAGAAUGGCACCUUUGCCUCAGGUAAUGACCUGAAGAAGAGUAUGAGGAGGGAAUAGUGCUUUCCCCUCAGGAUGAGGCUGUGAGAGAGGUGCAGUGGGAAAAUGGCGCCGUCCCCUCAGGUGUUGAUGGAGACAUGGGUAAAGUGGGCCAUGGCAUCUUCACCUCAGGGGGUGACCAGGAGAGGGGUACAGACAGGAAUGGCACCUUGCCCUCAGGUAGAGAUGGGGAAGGGGGGUACAGGGGAAAAUGGCAUCACCCUCACAGGCAAAGACUGGGAGAGGGGUAUGGGAGAAUGGUGCUUUCUCUUCAGGUGGAAACUGUGAGAGGCCUACAGAGUACAACAGCAUCUUCUCAGGUAGAGGGAUAUUGCACAUGUCCAUGAAGUAACUGAUACAGGCAUGCACAGAUGCUCAGGAAAAUGCUAAGGAGGACGAAUUUUAGUAGAAGAGGGCUAGGAACACCGAGCCUGAACAGCUCCUUGCUCUUGAGGUUGGUGCCAUUACAUCUGCUUGGGCCAAGCUGGAUGAGGACAGAGUCCUGCUUGCAGAGUCAAUCAGCAAAAAAAGUAUCCUGAGAAAUAGCAAAAGUGUACAAAAUCGUCAAAUCCACGGAGAGACAGCCUUCCUAGGCCUCAAUUUUU
This is a long non-coding RNA of Vidua macroura (Pin-tailed whydah), 1105 nucleotides long. RefSeq lists it as uncharacterized. The transcript is spliced from 4 exons. Lineage: Eukaryota; Metazoa; Chordata; Aves; Passeriformes; Viduidae. The record is from RefSeq and is a predicted model, not a curated record.